RNAcentral lists this ribosomal RNA (1065 nucleotides) under Triticum aestivum (bread wheat). Its description in RNAcentral is "partial small subunit ribosomal RNA". The record is from RNAcentral. Lineage: Eukaryota; Viridiplantae; Streptophyta; Magnoliopsida; Poales; Poaceae.
GAGAAACCCUACCAGUCGGUCCAGCCGCAGCCGCCGCCAUGUCGAAGCGAGGGAGGGGAGGCUCCGCGGGGAACAAGUUCCGGAUGUCGCUGGGGCUGCCUGUGGCGGCGACGGUGAACUGCGCCGACAACACGGGCGCCAAGAACCUCUACAUCAUCUCCGUCAAGGGCAUCAAGGGCCGCCUCAACCGCCUCCCGUCCGCCUGCGUCGGCGACAUGGUCAUGGCCACCGUCAAGAAGGGCAAGCCCGACCUCCGGAAGAAGGUCAUGCCCGCCGUCAUCAUCCGCCAACGCAAGCCCUGGCGCCGCAAGGACGGCGUCUUCAUGUACUUCGAAGACAAUGCUGGAGUGAUCGUGAACCCCAAGGGUGAGAUGAAAGGAUCUGCCAUCACCGGACCUGUGGGAAAGGAGUGUGCUGACCUUUGGCCCAGGAUCGCCAGCAACGCCAAUGCCAUCGUUUGAGAGCCUGUUUCAAGUUGUGAGACUGCUUAUAUAAUGCCAGUGUGGGUUGCAGCUGUUUUGCCUGGGAAAUAGUGGAACUCUGCGUUGCUCUGUUUUGUUUGGCAUCUCAGUUUCUUAGUGAACAGAAGCCUGCCUGUCUGCUUAGUUUAACAACUGUAACUUCGUUGCCAGAGAAAAUGGUGAACUUUGCGUAUCUCUGUUUUGGUUUGGCAUGAUGAGUUUAUGGGGAGUAUUCAUACAGAAGCCUUGCAUCACAUAACAAUGUUUAUGUGCAUUACCUCUGAUUUAUAUCGAAGAACACCGCGCUUCCAGCAGCAAGACGUUGUUUACCACGAAGCUUUAGAUGUAGCAACGUUACAGCAACUGCAAACACCGGCGGUAGGAAAACAAGUUUGCGCGGAUGAAGCAGAUAAAAUCGUCGCAGAAGCAGCCAAAAAACAACAACAAUGCCGGAUGAAGCAUAUAAAAUCGGUACUGACUUUGACCGGUUCCAGCAAAAGCUCUAGCAAAUUCCGUCGUUGACUAGACGUUUCCAGAAAUACUCAGUGGUUCCAGCAAAUCUGCAUGCCGAUUGCUGCAAACAAACGCCCGCCCUGUCAGGCAU